ACAACAUAUCCACAAGAUGAAUGUGGUGGAAAUGUGAAUGUUAAAAUAGAUGUUUGGUAACAUCAUAAUGGAUAACAUUAGGAAUGACCACAUCUGUCUGAGAAUGCAUGUAACACAUAUUGAUAAAAUGAGAAAGGGUCAUUUAUGAUGUUUUGGUCAUGUACAAUGCAGAUAAUCAAAUGCCUUAGUGCGGAAGUGUGAUAAGUUAAUACCGGAAGGCGUGAGAAAGGGAAUGGGGAGCCUACGAUGACGGGAGGAAAGCAGUAUCAAAUGAUUUAUAAGUUUUAGAUAUUAAUGUGGAUUUAGUGUCCAAUAGAGGUAAAUGGUGAAAAAGGAUCCAUAUGGCUGGCUUCUAUUAGUUUGGGAUAAAGGUUUAAUUAUUGUUGUAUGACUUUUUGAUUUGGUUGGGUUAUUUUCAUCAAAAAACCAAAAAACCCAACUGAUCAAUUUUCUAAUUUAUGGCCUUUUAUGUAAUGUAAUGUAAUGUUUAAUUUAUGGAAUUUAUAGUAGGUACAAAGAAAAAAAAAAUUAGGCCCAACAAAAUAGGCUUAAGCUGAUAAACUGAAAAGGUUUGGUUCAACACACACUCGGAUUUGGUUAUUAUUAUUUAUCACUUUGCUUUUUCAUUAUUUCGGUUUAAUUUGGAACUAAACCGAUUGAUUACAUGACCCUAGUCAGUGUCAUAUCCAAUUGAAGAACUGAAUAACAUCAAAUUGAGGAGAGACACUGAGAUAGAGAGUAGUGGAGAUCAUCAAUGCCACUGGGUACGUAAUUGUGAGUGUGAGGUUGAAGAGAGGCUGGGUUUGGGUUGGGAGUCAGGGUUGUGAGGUGUUGAGUCUUUGGAAAACAAAGAGGUAGAGAGAAGGGAACAAUUGAACAAUAGCACAGAAGAGUGAAAGACAAGUUGGGUCUAUGGCUCAGACAUAGUGGAGACUAGAAGGAGAGGGUAGGCGGCGAUGUAGAAGAAAGGAGGAAAGGGAAUGAAAUAGGAUGUGUGAAUUAGGUUUAGGUUUAAAAGAAGGCUAAAAUGAUUAUAGGCAUGAGCAGAAAUGGUUAGGGCCUUAUUUAUCUCUUGGCUAGACAAAGUAGCCUUUUAAUCAUGAUAAAAAUAAGUUUGGGAUCCUUAAAAUUUCCCAUUAUUAGCUACUUAAUCCAUAGAUUUUUUACAUUAAAAAUUCCUUAAUUUUUCAUUUUGUAUACUAAGUAGUCCCUCCAUUCAAAUUUUCAUUUUUUCACCAUUAUUCCAUUAAGAAAAGACCAGAUUACCUCCUCCCCUCUCUCAUCCUUGCCUUUGUUCUUCGACUAAGUCCUCUAACUCUUUGUGCUUUCCCCUUUUUUCUCUGUUUUGCCUAUAUCUGCCUUUAAGCAUCAAGCCUUUAAGGCUACUAACAUUGACUUAACCUCAAGAUGUCUCACCGGCAAAUAUCCAUGGCAACUGCAUAGCUCCUUCGAUAGUGACUAAAUUCAAUGCACUCAAGCAUUCUUACUCUCUCAACCUUGUUACCCUUCACACCCA
Molecule: unclassified non-coding RNA, 1516 nt
Filed under: Hevea brasiliensis (rubber tree)
Lineage: Eukaryota; Viridiplantae; Streptophyta; Magnoliopsida; Malpighiales; Euphorbiaceae
Source: RNAcentral